GGAGAGGUUCCCGAGUGGCCAAAGGGAGCAGACUGUAAAUCUGCCGGCGCAGCCUUCGAUGGUUCGAAUCCAUCCCUCUCCACCA
RNAcentral lists this transfer RNA (85 nucleotides) under Clostridia bacterium. RNAcentral's name for it is "tRNA-Tyr". It matches the Rfam family "tRNA". From Rfam's summary of the family: Transfer RNA (tRNA) molecules are approximately 80 nucleotides in length. Their secondary structure includes four short double-helical elements and three loops (D, anti-codon, and T loops). Further hydrogen bonds mediate the characteristic L-shaped molecular structure. tRNAs have two regions of fundamental functional importance: the anti-codon, which is responsible for specific mRNA codon recognition, and the 3' end, to which the tRNAs corresponding amino acid is attached (by aminoacyl-tRNA synthetases). tRNAs cope with the degeneracy of the genetic code in two manners: having more than one tRNA (with a specific anti-codon) for a particular amino acid; and 'wobble' base-pairing, i.e. permitting non-standard base-pairing at the 3rd anti-codon position. The record is from RNAcentral. Lineage: Bacteria; Bacillati; Bacillota; Clostridia.